Molecule: microRNA precursor, 67 nt
Filed under: Aotus nancymaae (Ma's night monkey)
Lineage: Eukaryota; Metazoa; Chordata; Mammalia; Primates; Aotidae
Description: miRNA (ENSANAG00000012685.1)
Source: RNAcentral
UGGUGCAAAACUAAUUGCGGUUUUUGCCAUUAAAAGUAAUGGCAAAACUGUAAUAACUUUUGUACCC